CCGGAAACCCUCACACAAUUCAGUGGCAAGGAAAUGUCUUCCUUUGCUGUGCUUGUUACCCUUGAAUGAGAAGUGCUCAACUUCAGGAUGGAUCAUUCACUGAUACCAUGAGGACCAAUGAACAUCACUGGCCACCAAAGAGCUGUGGAAGAAAUCUCACUGCGGAGCUGACUUCUAUCCCUCUCGACGGUACACGACCCUCCUUUAUUUCAACUCAGCUGUCACCUAAGCCUGCCAGGGAUCCAACAGCAUAUACUGGUCACAGCGCAUCGUUGAAUAAUACUCCUCAGGAAGUGUGCAGAUCCGCUUUUUCCUUCAUCAUUUCAGACAGGUGAACCCACUCUUGUUCACUAACUGGAGCCACGAGUCCAGGGCUCUAGAUAUCAACGUAUCAGCACACAUAGUGUCCACUUAAUACAUGCUAGAUUCUUAUUGCUCCCUGUCCUCUAGAUGCUUAUGAUUAAAUAUCAAAGUUACUUUAACCAUUCUAGAAUUUGGAAAUACUUGGCUUAAUUUACAAAUUCAUUGUCCUUUUAAAUGACUUUCCACGCAUAUGUAGGUUAACCCUUCUUUUUGCAGUUGCGUUCCUAAAAGUCUCAGACACCAAGUGAAAGCUGAAAUGUUAGUAAGUAUCUCAAAUUGGUUCUGAAGUCAGAGAAAUCUCCAAGUGAGACUAUCUAAUUAAAAGAUGUGCAACUUUUUGGACAUGAAAUCCACCUUACUGUUUCCCUGUCUUCUUUUAGCACUUAAGGCGGCUCAUUUAUUUCUGGUGCUGCACUUGUCAAGAUUUGGGGAGAGAAUGUGUUUGCAUAUAUGUGUGUGUCCUUGGGUUUGGGGGUGGCGAUUCAGGCAUGCUGCCAGGGAGAUCUGGCUUCCUGCCUUAGACUCUCCUUUACUCCCUAAUCAUGGUGUAGGCUGUUCAUUCCCUAAAAUCUCUUUCUCAGCUUUUGUUCCUUGCUUGCCACAUUGAGAAGAAAAAAAAAAUGCAGGGGGUGGGGGGCACAUUGGGGAUCAGUUGAGACCAAGAGAAAAGAGACAACUACCUAACAGAGGGAAGAUGAUGUACUUUUUCCCUAACGUUAGCUUCCUGGGUGCUCACCUCAUGGGUGAGGUGGAGCUCUGAUUUUCUCCAUGUCUGUCUUCUCUUCUUGAACUCAGACAAUGGGUCCAAUUCAAA
Long non-coding RNA from Cercocebus atys (sooty mangabey), 1177 nucleotides. RefSeq lists it as uncharacterized. The transcript has 2 exons. NCBI's taxonomy places the organism in Eukaryota, Metazoa, Chordata, Mammalia, Primates, Cercopithecidae. The record is from RefSeq and is a predicted model, not a curated record.